GAUGAACGCUGGCGGCGUGCUUAAUACAUGCAAGUCGAGCGAACGGACGAGAAGCUUGCUUCUCUGAUGUGAGCGGCGGACGGGUGAGUAACACGUGGAUCACCUACCUAUAAGACUGGUAUAACUUCGGGAAACCGGAGCUAACACCGUAUAAUAUUCUGAACCGCAUGGUUCAAUAGUGAAAGACGGUCUUGCUGUCACUUAUAGAUGGAUCUGCGCUGCAUGAGCUGGUUGGUAAGGUAACGGCUUAUCAAGGCAACGAUGCAUAGCCGACCUGAGAGGGGGGUAGGCGACACGGGAGGGGGAACGCGGUCCAGGGUCCUGCGGGAGGCAGCAGUAGGGAAUGGUACGCAGCGGGCGGAAGCAUGACGGAGCGACGGCGAGUGAGAGAUGACAGUGUUGGGUGCGUAAUGAUCUGUUAUUAGGGGAGAACAUAUGUGGAAGGAACUGUGGACAGCGUGACGGUAACUAGUCAGGAAGCAACGGCUAACUACGUG
This 497-nucleotide ribosomal RNA is filed under the name uncultured bacterium. RNAcentral's name for it is "partial 16S ribosomal RNA". It matches the Rfam family "Bacterial small subunit ribosomal RNA", at positions 28 to 507 of the family's 1533-position model. The record is from RNAcentral.